AUGAAACAUAACUCGCAUGGUUUCUCGUUCGUUCGGUAUUUACUUCUCUUGAAUUUUUCUCGCACCUCACCAGCAAACACAACAUUAUUAUGUGAUCUAGUCCGAAUAUCUUUACUGCUUAAACCACUGUCGAAGACCACAUUUAACCACCUACGUGGACUACACUAUUUCACUUACCCCGACGACUCCCUCCUCUUCAGCCGUCUUUGGGCAUAUAGCCUCCCUCUCUCCGCCUCGAUCAGCAUGUUAAUGGUCUCCUUCAGCGAGUCUCCGAGUGAUACCUCGCCGGCCUUGUACGCCUCUAUCUGCAGGCUGAGGGAGUUCGUGAGGGAGUCGCCCGGCUGAUUAUCGCUCAGCCGGGUCCCAUCCUCGGACGAUUCUCCCUUCGACGAUCCGUUCAUCCUGGAAAUCAGAAGAAACAUAUUCAAACCAAUCAACUUUAUCGUGAAUAGAAAAAACAACUGAAUCGGCCCGAAACAUUUAUAAAGGAACAACUUAAAACGGGACUAAGGCCGCAAAUAAUAAACAUAAAAUAAUAUAAAAAAAAAAAAAAAAAUAUAUAAACCCGGGACGUUUCGCAGGGAUCACACCCGCAUUUUCAACCGGCAAAACAAGAAAAAUUAAAAGAAAGGACACUAUGAGCCUCACCGUUGUUAUUGUGAGACUUUUGCCGUUUUGCCGUUUCUUGUUUUGCCGGUUGAAAAUGCGGGUGUGAUCCCUGCGAAACGUCCCGGGUUUUUAUAUUUUUUUUUUUUUUUUUUUUUUUUUUUUUUUUUUUUUUUUUUUUUAUUAUUUUAUGUUUAUUAUUUGCGGCCUUAGCCCCGUUUUAAGUUGUUCUUUUAUCGUGAAUCUCUACACUGGAGAAAAAGGAAUCUUAAAUUUGCCGCCAAGAAGAAUUUCUUCUUAAAUCAAGAAUUUUUCUGGUCAAUAUAAGCUACUAUUUUGCUUAAUCCAAGCAUCAAUUUGCUUGUAUCAAGAAAAAGUCAGCUUAAAGCGAGAUAAAAAAAAUUCUUGGCGGCAAAUUCAAGAAUAAUCAUGCUUGAUCCAAGCUACAUUUUUUUUCAGUGUACACGAAAAGUGAUCACUUCAUACAUUCAGUUUCGUAUAUUCAUCGGUUAAAUAAAGCGAUAUGUUGUUUUAGAAACUAGUAAAAACGAUUCCACUGGCCCUUUUCCUAGGCGCCUUCAAAGCCACCAAAAAAUGAAGCCCACCCACCCCACACCCCCCAACCCCCCCCCCCCCCCCCCAAAAAAAAUAAAAAUAUGUCUUCCCCCACCCUCCCCAGGGAAACGUAGGUGACCCCCCGAAACAUGACAAAGGUUGAAAGUUUCGUUCCCCCCCCCCCUCGUGUUGACUCAGCUCCGCGGGUGCGUCAAACCCGUUGGUUGCUCAUCAAGAGUUUUGCUUCAAAUCGGCAUCCUCGCCUAGGAAUCCAUCAUCGCCAAUUAUACGAGCUCUCUAAUCCCCACCCGGAUUAAUCUCUGGAAUUCUCGCGUGAAUGUCGAUCCUCAUCAGCGCAGCGGCUCGACUGUCGAGUGGAAAUCGAACGAAUCCGAUCGAUACGUCGCAUUGUCAAGCUGGAAUUAAUCGAGGAAGGUGAUUCGGUAUCGAAUCAACGGGCGACCUAUCGAUGGUCCUGAACGCAGCAUCGCACGUGUCCGUUAAUUGUUUGGACAGUGCUCAUAAAUUAAUCACAAGCUGCCUCUGUCCUGAUCUGUGAGAGAAGGUGUCAUCUCUCCAAGAAAAUUACGAUCGCAUGGAAAAUAAAGGGCUUUUCGCUCCCCAACAUUUUUGUGUUUGAACUCCAUAGUUCCCUAGUCUUAACGUUCGAUCUAAGUGAAUGAAAUUGUGCGUUAUUAGGAAGUCUAAAAACACGGGAACUGCUACAAGAAAUCCCUUUCAGUUCACGAAGAAGUCUUUUUCGGCCUGAAUUAUGAAGGCCUAGUGUAAUGAUGGUGACCACAUUAAAGUACUCUCAUAAAUGGUGUAAAAAUAGGGAGCUAUGAUAAGGAGGGAGGCGAGGCCAAGCUAAUUUCGCUAUGGUAUAUACGUAUGAAGCACUCCAUUUUUUUUUCUUUUAUUUUUCUUUCGUGCAUAUGUUUUCUGAAGGACUUUUCACCUUUAAGGAAUUUUUACCUUGUUCAACAAGCUAACCUCAUGAUUUAUACAUACAUACAUAUGCAUCCACGAAUGGUUACCAAAAUUCUGUAAC
RNAcentral lists this long non-coding RNA (2212 nucleotides) under Bemisia tabaci. RNAcentral's name for it is "lncRNA ENSSSA1NGG003697". The record is from RNAcentral. Lineage: Eukaryota; Metazoa; Arthropoda; Insecta; Hemiptera; Aleyrodidae.